GACGAACGCUGGCGGCGUGCUUAACACAUGCAAGUCGAGCGGAAAGGCCCUUCGGGGUACUCGAGCGGCGAACGGGUGAGUAACACGUGAGUAAUCUGCCCUUGGCUUUGGGAUAACUACCGGAAACGGUGGCUAAUACCGGAUACGACAACCGUCUGCAUGGGCUGGUUGUGGAAAGUUUUUUCGGCCAGGGAUGUGCUCGCGGCCUAUCAGCUUGUUGGUGGGGUAAUGGCCUACCAAGGCUUCGACGGGUAGCCGGCCUGAGAGGGUGACCGGCCACACUGGGACUGAGACACGGCCCAGACUCCUACGGGAGGCAGCAGUGGGGAGUAUUGGACAAUGGGCGGAAGCCUGAUCCAGCAACGCCGCGUGAGGGAUGACGGCCGUCGGGUUGUAAACCUCUUUCAGUACCGACGAAGCGCCGAUGAUGGUGGUGACGGUAGGUACAGAAGAAGCACCGGCCAACUACGUG
RNAcentral lists this ribosomal RNA (472 nucleotides) under uncultured bacterium. Its description in RNAcentral is "partial 16S ribosomal RNA". It matches the Rfam family "Bacterial small subunit ribosomal RNA", at positions 28 to 507 of the family's 1533-position model. The record is from RNAcentral.